GCCACUUCCAGGGUAUAACCUUUUCACUCGUAAUGAAAAGGUCACGAGUUCGAUUCUCGUAGGCGGCU
Molecule: transfer RNA, 68 nt
Filed under: Jonesia denitrificans DSM 20603
Lineage: Bacteria; Bacillati; Actinomycetota; Actinomycetes; Micrococcales; Jonesiaceae
Rfam family: tRNA
About the family: Transfer RNA (tRNA) molecules are approximately 80 nucleotides in length. Their secondary structure includes four short double-helical elements and three loops (D, anti-codon, and T loops).
Source: Rfam by way of RNAcentral